GAUGAACGCUGGCGGCGUGCCUAAUACAUGCAAGUCGAGCGAACAGGCGAGGAGCUUGCUCCUCUGACGUUAGCGGCGGACGGGUGAGUAACACGUGGAUAACCUACCUAUAAGGCUGGGAUAACUUCGGGAAACCGGAGCUAAUACCGGAUAAUAUAUUGAACCGCAUGGUUCAAUAGUGAAAGACGGUUUUGCUGUCACUUAUAGAUGGAUCCGCGCCGCAUUAGCUAGUUGGUAAGGUAACGGCUUACCAAGGCAACGAUGCGUAGCCGACCUGAGAGGGUGAUCGGCCACACUGGAACUGAGACACGGUCCAGACUCCUACGGGAGGCAGCAGUAGAGAAUCUUCCGCAAUGGGCGAAAGCCUGACGGAGCAACGCCGCGUGAGUGAUGAAGGUCUUCGGAUCGUAAAACUCUGUUAUUAGGGAAGAACAAAUGUGUAAGUAACUAUGCACGUCUUGACGGUACCUAAUCAGAAAGCCACGGCUAACUACGUG
RNAcentral lists this ribosomal RNA (497 nucleotides) under uncultured bacterium. RNAcentral describes it as "partial 16S ribosomal RNA". It matches the Rfam family "Bacterial small subunit ribosomal RNA", at positions 28 to 507 of the family's 1533-position model. The record is from RNAcentral.